This is a long non-coding RNA of Rhododendron vialii, 793 nucleotides long. RefSeq lists it as uncharacterized. The record is from RefSeq and is a predicted model, not a curated record. The transcript has 3 exons. Lineage: Eukaryota; Viridiplantae; Streptophyta; Magnoliopsida; Ericales; Ericaceae.
GAUCCAAACCUGUUUUAUUUGUUGCUCCAGGAAAUUUUCGUUCCUAAUGGGGUCUUUGUUUGUUGUUUUGAUUUCCAAGGACAGGAGCUUGAAUCAUGUCUUACCGAAAAGGAAAGAUAUAUCAAGGAAUUGGAAACUAAUUUAGGUGCACGAAAAGAAAUUAAUAGUCAUCAGCACAGUGAAUUGAAGGUGCUCAAUGAAAAGAGAAAUAACGAGGCAAGAAGAAUGAAGUCAUUGGAGAGGGAGGGUAACCGUGUACGUUCUGAAAUUUUCCUAUUCAAGUCCAAGGUUAGACUCCGCUUGGGACUUUGGGAUGCAUAAGUUCAAUCUAGAUUGAUUUAUUUUGGCAUUCUACUGGUGUGUGGAGGAAAUGUUCAAAAUUCUUUAAAGCUUGGCAAUGUAGCUCACACAACAGUCGCGGAAGAAUGAUUCAAAGGAGAACUCCCAAUAUGUGUAGAUUUGUUUUUACUUAGACAUUCAAGUUUUUGAAACUAUCGUGAAACAUGAAUGUGCAUGUGGAUGGUGUUUUGCGUUUGGUGUGUUGCUUUUCCUCUUUAACGGACAUGACAUUUGUACCUUGCACAUAGACUUUCUGGCAGCUGUGCACCUACAACGUCUGCAAAUAACCCUUUUGCUACUUUAAAACCAUCUACCUAUAACUACUGCAAACUUUUCUGUGCUUAUGCUACUGCAACAGCUGCCAAUAGAUUGCACAGUAUGUAAUUUCUAUAUGCAAGGAAGAACUAAUGCCUUGGCUGUUUUGAUCAAUACAUGUGCUGUGCCUUCGUAGCUA